UUGGCACAGUUUCUUAAGAGAAAUAAAAAAAUAAUUAGAAUCGGUAGAUAAUGUUGCUGAGAGUAAAAUAGAAUAUCCUCUACUUAAAUCUCCAUUCUUCAUUUAAUACUCAUAAAGAUGGAAAAGGUUGAUUAGCCUGUAUCCUGGUUAGUAUUGUCUUGGAAUCUAACCUUUAUGUUAUUACAAGAAUGUUGAUUACCAGAAUCUGGUAACCCUAAGAUAUAAAUAGGAUUCCUACAUCACAUUCUCUGUGUAACAGAUCAAACAGACAAUUGUUAUCAUUCAUGUCAAUGAGAUUAACAGUGGAAUAUUAUAUAUUAAGGCAUGUACAUUUUUUAUCAGUAAAUAAGAAUGUGUACAAUAGAUGUAAAUGUAUUGAUCUGUUAAGAGUUGUCUUCCACGGCUUAUAAACAGUUAUAAACGGCCUACGGCUAAUAUCAGGUGAAUGUUUGGAAUACCUACACAUCAAGAUAGAUAUAUACAUUCCAGGUCAUCUGUUGUACCGGGAUCACCUAACGACAGGUGAAAAAAUGACAGGUCUAGAUAUAUCUACAUUUAGAGUUCUGGAGUUCUGUAUAGAAGGAAGGUUGUCACCUGUACAGGUAUAUAUAGAAUAUAAAGAAGAAUUACAGAUAUUGACUUAAAAAGGACAAACAUGUUAUUGACCAGAGAGAAGCACAGAGUUGAUGAAGAGAAAAGAAGCAUAUUGUUACUGACGGGAGAGAAGAAGCACAUAAUUGUUGAAGAGAAAAGAGGAACAGAUUGUAGGUUGAUUUAGGUUCUGUUCAGCUUCUGUCAUGCAAUCCACUAUUUAUGGUCAUGAAAUAUUAAUACUAAUUUCUGAUAAAACAGCUAACCACUUGUAAAUCUACAAAUGGGAAAUCUUUGAUGCACAAAAUUGUAUGAUGUAAUAACGUACUAUAAAACACAAUGCCUUCAUUUAUUUUGCAAGCUGCACUUUUAGUACACAAAAAAAUUGAUCAGUGGUAUGGAUUUUCAAUAAUUCAAGAGCAUGCUAUUUUGUUUGAUAUAAAUUUGUUAGAAGAGAAUUUGCAGUUUUUAGACCAUAUAAUUCAUUGCAUUCAUCUGAAAAAAAAGGCUGAAUGAGGGAUAUAUAUCAAUGAUGUAGCAAUUUUCCAACCCACUGACAUUUUAUCAAAGAGAUGAACAAACUCAAAGGUCUCAAUAGCUUCAAAUUAAGACAAAGUGUGAAAAAUGUUACUGGACUACCUAGCAAUUGACAUAGACAAAGUUGUCAGUUGACAAACAAAAACAAAGAUACCACAACAAUUACCAUCAAAAUUUAGACUUAGGACUGACUCAUUUUGUUAGCU
This is a long non-coding RNA of Mytilus trossulus (common blue mussel), 1334 nucleotides long. RefSeq lists it as uncharacterized. The record is from RefSeq and is a predicted model, not a curated record. Lineage: Eukaryota; Metazoa; Mollusca; Bivalvia; Mytilida; Mytilidae. The transcript has 3 exons.